Long non-coding RNA from Apis cerana (Asiatic honeybee), 4404 nucleotides. RefSeq lists it as uncharacterized. NCBI's taxonomy places the organism in Eukaryota, Metazoa, Arthropoda, Insecta, Hymenoptera, Apidae. The record is from RefSeq and is a predicted model, not a curated record.
CUGUACAACAGGUGGAGAAGAUUGGUGGUGAAGACAACCGAUACUGUCAUCUGUAUCAGGAUCUGUAUUCCAAACGUUUGAUUCAGAAAGCACACGAUCUUGAUUAUCUCCAGAUGGAUUUGCCUUUGUGAAAAACGAAAGUUGUUCGUGUUCCUUCUUACGUGUUCAUUCCUGUACAAAGAGAAUCUGUUGUUCUCUAAAUUGUUCGUCAUUUCCAACACUCUUUUGUGAAUCGGCGAUUUCAUGAUUCUCAUACUACGAAGUAACUCGUUCAACUGACGAAACUUUAAUUUCAAGCACCUGAAUAACUUUCAUACGUGACCCAGAAGCAGAAGGAGAUGGUGCUGACACCGAACACUAUGAACGGAAUGUUCGGUAAAAUGGAAAGGCAUAAUUUAAUAAGCGUUGGCGUGGUUGAUUCGUAAUGACAAUAAUAGAUCAAUACAACGAAGAUGAGCGUGUAUAUUCCAAGGAAUAUGUAUCUUUUGAUCUGAUACAUCAUCAGGCAACGAUGCUUCGGUGACAAUCCUAUGUUUUCCAUUUUCUGAUCGCUUAAUUCUACAAGUGACACUACUGUCCGUAAUUGCUAGAAGAUGAGACAAUGUAUCAAAAUAUUAAAGCAAACAAACGUUUCUUGUAUCCAACGAAAAGUAAUAACAGGAAGAAAUUCGAAAAGGCGUUUAAAAUCACCUGUGCUUUUAUCCUGGUAAUGAUAAUCAACAGUGUUAUCGUCCAAAUAUUCGCGUGGAACAUCCAUUGAAAUAUAAAACGACUUAGAUUGAACGUGCUGAUGACAUAAUAUUUGUCGUAAUAAGGCAAGGUUAACUUAUUGAUCAAGUAAAAUAUCACAAGAUUGCAUAUCGUGUAAAUAUAUUCCAGUUUCUUCGAGGGUUUCUUUGCCUCGAUACCGGUCAGGCCCAUACCGAACACGAAGUUUAUCAUCAUCAACGGUUUGAUGGUUUCCUUGAGUGUUUUCGGCUCGUACAUGGCGAGUGGAAAAUGGAACUGGAUCAACUUAAACGCUUCACACCUUCGUUGUUUAUUUUAUUCAUACAUCAUCGUAUUUACACGACAGGUAGCAAUAGAUCGUUAUCACGUCAUGGUUAUCGUAUAAGUAGUGCUGCUAAGUAAUAACGAGCACAACAAUUACUCGUUCGUGUCCGAAUCGAUAUCGCGGUGAAAGUAUUGUUAACAAGAAUAAUGGUUAAUGAUUAAUUAUCGAAAUGCGGUUGCACGGUUCAAAUAUGUCUUAAUGAUAUUGUAAGAGCGUUUUUCUGGAUCUUCCGCAAAUCGUGUUAUAUCUAUUUCUGAAAAAACAAAUCUGAAACUUUAUUAAAAAUGAAUAGUAAUUCUUUUGAAUUUAAAAUCAAAUCAAUUGGAAAAAUAUUUAGUAUUCACUGUUUUUUAUUGCGUAUUAUAUAUUGUUUUAUUUAUAAUCUUAUUAAUCGACAAGUAUGAAAAAUUAUAUUCGAACGUCGAUCAAACUUUGAUUCGUCGUUUGAACGUUGCUCAAAUUGUAACUCGUCACAUUUUCCAUUGAAAUGUCGUUUUUUAUCGAUGAAUUUUGGCUCCAUUGUAUCAUGAUAAUAACGUAAGACAACAUGAAACUUAUGCACUGAAAAAAAAACCUUGUUGAAUCUUGUUAAUAAACAGUGAAAAAGAAAAAAGAAAAAUCGUAUAAAAAAGAAUACUAACAUGGCGAAUGUAAGAAUAAUUGAUUUUAUAAUCAAUCGUUUUUGAUUUUUCAAGUCGUGUGUACGAUAUUUGAAAACAGAAUUGGAGAAACUGCGAACAAAUGAAUUAUUAGGUUAUGUUUUUUUCAACAAAAUUUCACUCGACAUAUCAGACAGUUAAAUCUUGUUCACCUCGUUUUUUAAUUCAAUAUCUUUUUCGUCCAAGGGAUAUGAGUGAAUAAUAUUUAUUGUUUUUUUAGCCUGAAAAUCGAAUGGAUCAAACUUGAAAUUUAGAAAAAAAACAUUUCCAAUUUUUAAAAAUAUACAAUUUCUCACCUCAUUUAUUGUACAUUCGCAAUAAUAGGCUACAUAAAUUAUCUUCAUAAAAUUUCCAAAGCUAUUCCAUACAAAUAUCAUCAUCGUCAGUAACAGUUUUUUAAUAUCGGUCGUUCUUGGGAUCUCUACGUAUAUAUAAUAUGCAUGUAUUAUUAUGUAAAUCAUAAUUAUGAACGUAUACGUCAAUAAUUGCACGUUGUAAACGUUGUUCGUCAUUUUCGAUAUAUUGGAAAGUUGCAAUUGCGCCGAUCUUAAAAUUUUACAAAUUUCAGCAAAUCUUUUUAUUCAUCCAAUGUAAUAUUAUAUUUUCAAUUAAUUCAAAAUUAUUUAAUCUCGAUCGAAUUUCAUUUACCUAAUUUGUUGAACCAGAUGAAUUUUCUCGUCGGAUUCCUGUUUCAAAUUUGGAACGUGGUUCACAGGAAAUAUUUGGGAGCCGAGUAAAAAACGUUCCAACGACCAACUGUUCAGUCGAGAUCUAUUCUUAAAAUUAGGAUUCGACCCGAGGAUCUCGUCCUCCUUCAAUCCCUUCUCCAUUUUCGUUCCAUCAUUCACCGACAGAGUCGUUGCGAGCAGUUGAUUCGUCUGUUCGAAUCUUAAUUUUAGCCAACUGCAAUUUUCGAAUAUCAAUUUGAAGAACUCGAAGAAAGAUGAAAAUUGAUACAUUUGAUAUACGUACUAUAUGAAUAUAUCGUAGUCGUACAAAACGAGUGACUCGAUAUUUAUCAUGUGAACGUAAGAGAAUGUGACAAUUAUUUCGGAUAUUAUUUUUUCGUAUUUUAAUAAGAAGUUCGAGAAUAAUCCUAUUAAUAUAAUCCAAUGGAUUAACCAUAUCAAUCCUGUGAUCUUUACUUUACGGUGCAUGCUUCGAUACUCGAUUUCAAUCCCAAUUUCCUUCAAAUUUUCGUCCACUUGGUCGAUGUGAUUUCGUAAAACGAUUAUAUCCUGGACGAGAAAGUUAAAAACGAAAUAAAAAAAAAAAAAAUGGAACUCGAAAAACGAAAAAUCAAAGAAAAGUAAAGAUUCUCGCUUCUUUGAAGAUUUCCAUUACCUUCGAUUUGUACCAACCCAUUAUUGUUAUAGUUACGUAUCCAUAGAGAAAGAUGAAAAGUAGAAACGUGUACAUGAUUCGUUCUUUGUUAUACGGCAUGCUGCUUAAAUUAUAUAUUUCCAGAUAGAAUAUGAAAUAGACGUACGUGAAGAACGAGAUAACAUUAUAGAUCCAGCUGAGCAAGAAUUUCGACAAACUUUUUUUCAUAUUCUGGUAAUAACGGAACGAUGUCGCGUAAGAUAACACGAUUAUUAUUCUUGUCGCUUCCUCGUAACUUUUCAUCCUUGUUUUAUCUACCUAUAUUUCGAAAAAUUAAGAAACGAAAAAUUAUAUUAAUGAUAACAAAAUAAGGACAAAAAUCGACGAUGUCGUUACAUAUGAACCUACGCGGAUAUCUUUUUUUAAAGGAGAAAGAAAAGAUUAUUCUGUUCACUCGAAGGUUACGAUUAAUUUAUAAUAGAGGGGAAAAAAGAAAAAAAAAAGUAUGAUUCACGCAGGUUCGAAUUAAACACUCGUAAUUUUUAUCUAAGUUAAUCUCGUUAUCUUUGUAUUCAAAUCGAGGGUAAAACGACACCAACUCUUUGCUCGUUUCCUCGUUCGACUAAAGGUUGAAGGUGACCCAGAAGAACGUUGCAAUUGCGCAUUUACGUAAUUGCAACGUAAGAAGGAAUGCGUAAAUACGAUGAUAAGAAAAAAAAAGAGAGAGAGAGAAGAAAAAGUAAUUCAUUUCGUUCGACCAAGGCUUGAAGGCUUGAUCAUCGAGGGAUAUGUACAUAAAUUGGCCAACUUAAUGCAAUUUCGAACGAUUGCGAUCAAUUUAAAAUAUUGCUCUAAAUUUUAGUGUCAUUUUAGUUGCGAGAAAAAAAAUAUAUUCUAACGUUUCUUUCUAAAUAUUGUACAUCAAUUGUCGUUGAGAUAAUGAAUUGCAAAUUCUAUGUAUAUAUAUUGAAUUUUUACCACUUUUACGCCGCUUUAUUUUAUUAUUAUAUUAUUAUAUUAUUUCCAACGAUUGCGAUCGAUUUAAAAUAUUGUUCUAAAUUUUUGCUGCGAGAAAAAAAAUAUAUUCUAACGUUUCUUUAUAAAUAUUGUACAUCAAUUGUAUGAGAAAUUAUAUGAGAUAAUGAAUUGCAAAUUCUAUGUAUAUAUAUUGAAUUUUUACCACUUUUACGCCGCUUUAUUUUAUUAUUAUAUUAUUAUAUUAUUUCCAACGAUUGCGAUCGAUUUAAAAUAUUGUUCUAAAUUUUUGUUGCGAGAAAAAAAAUAUAUUCUAACGUUUCUUUAUAAAUAUUGUACAUCAAUUGUAUGAGAAAUUAUAUGAGAUAAUAAAUUGCAAAUUCUACGUAUAUA